GGAGGGUGCGAGCGUUGUCCGGAAUCACUGGGCGUAAAGGGCGCGUAGGCGGCGCAGUAAGUAGGGGGUGAAAUCUCAUGGCUCAACCGUGAAACGGCCUCCUAAACUGCUGUGCUUGAGCACGGUAGAGGCAGAUGGAAUUCCCGGUGUAGCGGUGGAAUGCGUAGAUAUCGGGAAGAACACCAGUGGCGAAGGCGGUCUGCUGGGCCGUUGCUGACGCUGAGGCGCGACAGCGUGGGGGGAGCAAACAGGAUUAGAUACCCUGGUAGUCCACGCCGUAAACGAUGGGUACUAGGCGUCGGGGGGGAGCGACCCCUUCGGUGCCGUCGCUAACGCAGUAAGUACCCCGCCUGGGGAGUACGGCCGCAAGGCUG
This 374-nucleotide ribosomal RNA is filed under the name uncultured organism. Its description in RNAcentral is "partial 16S ribosomal RNA". It matches the Rfam family "Bacterial small subunit ribosomal RNA", at positions 527 to 896 of the family's 1533-position model. The record is from RNAcentral.